CUUUUAACGAUAGUCGUAUUUUUAUCGUUUUGCUGAACAUGGUUACGGGCUACGAUAAGAAUACCACGUCGAUAUCGUAUAAAGUUAUCCACUAUCAUUCGUAAGUGACCACGAUUGUCUAUGCCUAGAGUUUAUGAAAAAUCCAUUUAAUGCCUGGCUUUAUUAAAAUGUCGGACGUGUGUCGGACGAUGUUUGAAAACGAAUAGUUAGUUUUAUUACUACACUUCCAAAUUGAAAAAUGUUUAAAUGAGUGACAGCUUUAUACAAAUUGACUUACAUUAUAACAUGCACGGAUAAUCGUGUUUUCUCAACUGACAAUUCACUUGACAUUGACAAGCAUCGCGUACGCGCAUGAUUCAGUGAAUUUAGUGAACAUACAAACUAAGUCGAAGAAAAAUACUGAUUUGCUGUGUGAACUAAAGGAAAUGCCACCCAAAAUGUAAGUUUCUCUAAUUUAUUUAUAGAAAAAGUUAUAGUUCGUUUGAUCAUUAACUGGUUUUGUCAUGAAUAUGUUUAAUUUCAGACGAUGCUUCGGCGCACAAGAAAAUGCUAGCCAAAUAUAUAUAACUCAGCAUCCCCUGUUCGCCUACACCUACAGGGAGAUCCAUGAGCCUCUCGGAAGCCAGAGAUACAAAAUGCAAUGCUUCACAUUGCACAUAACUUCUAAGAUCCAGAAGAAAGGAUUGAAGAUGGUCCGUCGGGCCUGGGCAUUAUGAUCAUCGAGGGGCGGCACACGGAAGCCGGCCGAGGAAUCUUCGUCUCCGACUUACAAGAAGGCAGCGCUGCCGAACAGUCAUGACAUAUUGGAGGCUUGAAAGUGCACAUACCCAUACAUUGGACGUUAAGCUCAACGAGACCAUGCGAUGCAUCUCAGGCACUAUCCGAUCUACAACCGCCACUGGCUGCCGGCAUUGAGUCACAU
Molecule: long non-coding RNA, 922 nt
Organism: Cydia splendana
Lineage: Eukaryota; Metazoa; Arthropoda; Insecta; Lepidoptera; Tortricidae
Exons: 3
Source: RefSeq, a predicted model, not a curated record